AUGUGGCAUAAUGGAUAAGGCGUCGGACUUCUAAAAUGUGAAUGACAUCCGAAAAUUGCGGGUUCGAGUCCCGCUAU
This 77-nucleotide transfer RNA is filed under the name Daphnia pulex (common water flea). It matches the Rfam family "tRNA", at positions 5 to 66 of the family's 71-position model. Rfam says of the family: Transfer RNA (tRNA) molecules are approximately 80 nucleotides in length. Their secondary structure includes four short double-helical elements and three loops (D, anti-codon, and T loops). Further hydrogen bonds mediate the characteristic L-shaped molecular structure. tRNAs have two regions of fundamental functional importance: the anti-codon, which is responsible for specific mRNA codon recognition, and the 3' end, to which the tRNAs corresponding amino acid is attached (by aminoacyl-tRNA synthetases). tRNAs cope with the degeneracy of the genetic code in two manners: having more than one tRNA (with a specific anti-codon) for a particular amino acid; and 'wobble' base-pairing, i.e. permitting non-standard base-pairing at the 3rd anti-codon position. The record is from Rfam by way of RNAcentral. Lineage: Eukaryota; Metazoa; Arthropoda; Branchiopoda; Diplostraca; Daphniidae.